CGGGUGAGUAACACGUGGAUAACCUACCUAUAAGACUGGGAUAACUUCGGGAAGCCGGAGCUAAUACCGGAUAAUAUUUUGAACCGCAUGGUUCAAAAGUGAAAGACGGUCUUGCUGUCACUUAUAGAUGGAUCCGCGCUGCAUUAGCUAGUUGGUAAGGUAACGGCUUACCAAGGCAACGAUGCAUAGCCGACCUGAGAGGGUGAUCGGCCACACUGGAACUGAGACACGGUCCAG
RNAcentral lists this ribosomal RNA (237 nucleotides) under uncultured Staphylococcus sp. Its description in RNAcentral is "partial 16S ribosomal RNA". It matches the Rfam family "Bacterial small subunit ribosomal RNA", at positions 103 to 334 of the family's 1533-position model. Lineage: Bacteria; Bacillati; Bacillota; Bacilli; Caryophanales; Staphylococcaceae. The record is from RNAcentral.